This 253-nucleotide ribosomal RNA is filed under the name uncultured bacterium. RNAcentral's name for it is "partial 16S ribosomal RNA". It matches the Rfam family "Bacterial small subunit ribosomal RNA", at positions 524 to 776 of the family's 1533-position model. The record is from RNAcentral.
GACGGAGGGUGCGAGCGUUAAUCGGAAUUACUGGGCGUAAAGCGCAUGUAGGCGGCUGGACAAGUCGGGUGUGAAAUCCCGAGGCUUAACCUCGGAACUGCACUCGAAACUGCCUGGCUCGAGUCCCGGAGAGGGAGGCGGAAUUCCCGGUGUAGGGGUGAAAUCCGUAGAUAUCGGGAGGAACACCAGUGGCGAAGGCGGCCACCUGGACGGUUACUGACGCUGAGACGCGAAAGCGUGGGGAGCAAACAGG